AGCCCUCUUUCCUUACCCGAGCCCGUCCUCUAUCCGUCACCGACGCGCUGCUUCCUCCUCCCCGAUUUCGCUAAACUUGCCUUCGGUCGAACCCCUCUUCCCCGACCAUCUUCCCUAGCUGAUUCGCCUGAUUACUCCUCCUUAACCCCUCUACUCACUAGGCCUCCUCCAUCCUGAUCAUCGACGCCGAGCUCUCCCGACCACGCCACGCCACAUGACGUCGCCGGAUCACCGCGAGCACCAGCGACGUUACUCCUUCGCCUCCGGCUAGCCGUCGUCGUCCCUCCUUUGUCCCUAAUCUGUGCCCUAAAUCUUUGCUGAUCGCCUUCUCCUUUGUGUCGCCGCGAUCAUGCCGACCGCCCGCGAGCUUACAGCAGGCAAUGAUCUCCUACACGACCACACACCUCGCCAUCGUCGAGUCUUGGCUAUCAUACUACUAAGAUUCCAGCCGCCCUCUCGAUCCCGACGACAUUGCUACGCCGACACAGUUUCUUCAUCGCCGUGCCCUAGUUUCCGGGUGCCGAGUCUUUCUUCCUCUUCACUAAUCUGGAUCAUGGCUCCGGCCAAAAAUCCUUGUGAUGGCUGGGAUACUUGUAGAUAUUAGCGAUACGAACAGAACCUAAAGAUCAAUGGAAGGGUAAUUGUUUUGGAAAUCCACAUCUUCACCCCGCUACAACUAUAUUUCCGGCGGCAAGCACACCUUCGGCUGUGGAUUACCAGCUGAUCGUCCGUGUUUAGGACUCGAAUUUUGAGAUGGACAUUUUUGACAAGGGAUUGGUUUAGCACGAUCAACAGUUAAAGGCAGGCUUUAACUUGAGUUGCUACCUUAUUUAAACAUUGCUCCAGAUUUUUGAUACACCUCUGAUACACAACUACUGCAUAUUGAUUUCAGCAUUUCUUGAUGAAAGAUGUCCUUAGCACUACAAUGGUAUUUCCAAGUUCAGUGGUCUUCAUUAGCUUUCCAUUCCUGCACAACACGGAUGUUCAGAUUUGAUCAUGUUUUUGUAACUUUGAGCAUGAUUCUGUUGUACACAAAUUUCAGCUACCAAUCUUCAAUUCCAUUUAGCACUGCAAAUCAGAAUUACUGAGUAUUAAAGUUUGGAUUGUAAAGAGUUGGCCUCAAGUGAAGAAUUCAUUUGAUAACUCAUUUAAACUGAACUUAAAUCUAAGUGUUAUAGUUCAACAACAGCAUAAAGGUUUGGCACAAUUCAUCCUUCCAUUUCUGAUU
This is a long non-coding RNA of Zingiber officinale, 1228 nucleotides long. RefSeq lists it as uncharacterized. The record is from RefSeq and is a predicted model, not a curated record. The transcript is spliced from 6 exons. Lineage: Eukaryota; Viridiplantae; Streptophyta; Magnoliopsida; Zingiberales; Zingiberaceae.